This 467-nucleotide ribosomal RNA is filed under the name uncultured bacterium. RNAcentral describes it as "partial 16S ribosomal RNA". It matches the Rfam family "Bacterial small subunit ribosomal RNA", at positions 28 to 506 of the family's 1533-position model. The record is from RNAcentral.
GAUGAACGCUGGCGGCGUGCUUAACACAUGCAAGUCGAACGGAAAGGCCCAAGCUUGCUUGGGUACUCGAGUGGCGACCGGGUGAGUAACACGUGGGUGAUCUGCCCUGCACUUCGGGAUAAGCCUGGGAAACUGGGUCUAAUACCGGAUAGACCGAUGGUUUGGAUGCCAUUGUGGAAGGUUUUUUCGGUGUGGGAUGAGCUCGCGGCCUAUCAGCUUGUUGGUGGGGUAAUGGCCUACCAAGGCGUCGACGGGUAGCCGGCCGGAGAGGGUGUACGGCCACAUUGGGACUGAGAUACGGCCCAGACUCCUACGGGAGGCAGCAGUGGGGAAUAUUGCACAAUGGGCGCAAGCCUGAUGCAGCGACGCCGCGUGGGGGAUGACGGCCUUCGGGUUGUAAACUCCUUUCGCUAGGGACGAAGCGUUUUUGUGACGGUACCUGGAGAAGAAGCACCGGCUAACUACGU